GACGAACGCUGGCGGCGUGCCUAAUACAUGCAAGUAGAACGCACAGUUUAUACCGUAGCUUGCUACACCAUAAACUGUGAGUUGCGAACGGGUGAGUAACGCGUAGGUAACCUGCCUGGUAGCGGGGGAUAACUAUUGGAAACGAUAGCUAAUACCGCAUAAUAUUGAUUAUUGCAUGAUAAUUGAUUGAAAGAUGCUAUUGCAUCACUACCAGAUGGACCUGCGUUGUAUUAGCUAGUAGGUGAGGUAACGGCUCACCUAGGCGACGAUACAUAGCCGACCUGAGAGGGUGAUCGGCCACACUGGAACUGAGACACGGCCCAGACUCCUACGGGAGGCAGCAGUAGGGAAUCUUCGGCAAUGGACGAAAGUCUGACCGAGCAACGCCGCGUGAGUGAAGAAGGUUUUCGGAUCGUAAAGCUCUGUUGUAAGAGAAGAACGGGUGUGAGAGUGGAAAGUUCACACUGUGACGGUAUCUUACCAGAAAGGGACGGCUAACUACGU
This 504-nucleotide ribosomal RNA is filed under the name uncultured bacterium. RNAcentral describes it as "partial 16S ribosomal RNA". It matches the Rfam family "Bacterial small subunit ribosomal RNA", at positions 28 to 506 of the family's 1533-position model. The record is from RNAcentral.